Molecule: ribosomal RNA, 449 nt
Filed under: uncultured bacterium
Lineage: Bacteria
Description: partial 16S ribosomal RNA
Rfam family: Bacterial small subunit ribosomal RNA
Source: RNAcentral
AACGAACGCUGGCGGCAGGCCUAACACAUGCAAGUCGAACGAAGUCUUCGGACUUAGUGGCGGACGGGUGAGUAACACGUGGGAACGUGCCUCUAGGUUCGGAAUAACUCAGGGAAACUUGUGCUAAUACCGAAUGUGCCCUUCGGGGGAAAGAUUUAUCGCCUUUAGAGCGGCCCGCGUCUGAUUAGCUAGUUGGUGAGGUAAAGGCUCACCAAGGCGACGAUCAGUAGCUGGUCUGAGAGGAUGAUCAGCCACAUUGGGACUGAGACACGGCCCAAACUCCUACGGGAGGCAGCAGUGGGGAAUCUUGCGCAAUGGGCGAAAGCCUGACGCAGCCAUGCCGCGUGAAUGAUGAAGGUCUUAGGAUUGUAAAAUUCUUUCACCGGGGACGAUAAUGACGGUACCCGGAGAAGAAGCCCCGGCUAACUUCGUGCCAGCCGCCGCAGUAA